AGAUAUCGAAUCAAGACGCUUUCAAACUACAAUCCAUUAAAGAUCUUUACUAAGGAGACUUCCUGAUGUUACAGAUUAUCUAUAACAAGUCCUUGAUAUAUGUAAUAAUAAUUAUCAUUGUAUGAUCUACCUAUUGUACCUCCACUAGUUAAUAGGGAGUUUGUUCGUGUGGAAGAAGCUGAACUCGAUGAAGUUUAUCAUAACGUGGAAGAAGGACUUGUUAUGAUAAACUUCAUAACGUUAUGAUAAACUUAAAAGGUACCAUAUCUAUCUAAAUUCGAAAGAAAAGAAUAAUAAAAAAUGGCUACUAUAAUUCAUUUUUAAAUCUUACUUUCCAAUCGAAGGUUUCUUGAAGAACAACACUGUAAUUCAUUCAUUCAUGAUCUCAAUUGUCAGAUACUUUUACU
Cucumis melo (muskmelon) is the source of this 407-nucleotide long non-coding RNA. RefSeq lists it as uncharacterized. The record is from RefSeq and is a predicted model, not a curated record. The transcript has 2 exons. Lineage: Eukaryota; Viridiplantae; Streptophyta; Magnoliopsida; Cucurbitales; Cucurbitaceae.